Molecule: long non-coding RNA, 1057 nt
Organism: Patiria miniata (bat star)
Lineage: Eukaryota; Metazoa; Echinodermata; Asteroidea; Valvatida; Asterinidae
Exons: 3
Source: RefSeq, a predicted model, not a curated record
ACAAAAAAACAACAACACAUUUUCUUCUUAUUUUCAAUGCAAAACCUGUGCAUGUAUUUUCUUGAGUUGCAAUAAAAACUAGCCCAUAUAAAAACACGGGGGAAUGUAAACACUGACAUUUUGCAUAGCGAACACAUGUUUGCGACACCUAUUAAUAUUUUAUUAAAAAAUCCAAAAACAAAAACAAAAACAAAAAACCCGGUAAAUUCUGGUGAGCUUAGAUGAAACUGGCCUUUUCUUUUCAUGAUAAAAAUACACAGACUGACAAUAAUUGCAUAGCGCAUGAAAAAUUAUAUAAACAAAAUCAUUAACUUCCAAAAACGAUUGCAUCAGCACAUCAAGCAUAGUAUUAGAAGGUGUGACAUUGCAUUUUAAAUUUUACAUGUAGAUUUGUAAUGCAAAUCUUAAUUUAAAGUGUAGGGGGCCUACUGAGUUUAACCGUUUUAUUGAGUCUUAUAGGGUGCAUUCGAGUAGCGUCCCCGUGUAUACAAGGGGAUCAUUCUCGUGGAAGUCAUAAUUAAGGUCAAAGGCUGUUAAUUGGCAGGAAUUUAAAAUGUACACACAUCAGGCAUACCUGUCGUAUGCUUCACUGGUAAAAUUAGUUUUAUCAUUGCAGCCAGAUCGAUAAUUGCUGGAAAUGGAGGAUAUGCUCUGAAUCAUAAACACAAAGGUGUCCAUCCAAUUGAACACCGUCAAUAAUUGGGAAUUUUGUGUCAUCAAUCUCUCCAUUAUAUGCAGUUAGUAAUCAAAUUUUGGCCAUCUUCAAUCUAAUUAGCCACGGACCCAUCUGGUUACAUUGUUACAUCCGGGCAGCUACCACAGACCCGCGAUCGCAAGCUGGGACAUUGAUGGUUGACACCGCGGGGCAGACACAGGGAUCACAUGACGGCUAAUAGCACGCUCUCAUACAAACUUACCAGUUACCACGACUCACGAAGCAUGAUUGCCUGUGAUAACUGUGACAUGUGGUACCACUACACUUGCAUUAACCUAGAACCGCAAACAAGACGCAAGUCAUACAUGGAUAAAGGUACCUUUGCAGCCCACAAGCCCCCCC